Molecule: ribosomal RNA, 468 nt
Filed under: uncultured bacterium
Lineage: Bacteria
Description: partial 16S ribosomal RNA
Rfam family: Bacterial small subunit ribosomal RNA
Source: RNAcentral
GACGAACGCUGGCGGCGGGCUUAACACAUGCAAGUCGAACGGAAAGGCCCUGCUUUUGUGGGGUGCUCGAGGGGCGAACGGGUGAGUAACACGUGAGUAACCUGCCCUUGACUUUGGGAUAACUUCAGGAAACUGGGGCUAAUACCGGAUAGGAGCUCCGGCUGCAUGGUGGGGGUUGGAAAGUUUCGGCGGUUGGGGAUGGACUCGCGGCUUAUCAGCUUGUGGGUGGGGUAGUGGCUUACCAAGGCUUUGACGGGUAGCCGGCCUGAGAGGGUGACCGGCCACAUUGGGCCUGGACUGCGGCCCAGCCUCCUAGGGGAGGCAGCAGUGGGGAAUAUUGCACAAUGGGCGGAAGCCAGAUGCAGCCACGCCGCGUGCGGGAUGACGGCCUUCGGGUUGUAAGCCGCUUUCGUCUGUGCCGAAGCGUGAGUGACGGUAAUGGGUAAAGAAGCACCGGCUAACUACGUG